UUACAACAGCUCAGUAGCACGUGGCUAACCUACCUUGGGACGGGAGCAACCCCGGGAAACUGGGGCUAAUCUCCGAUAGGUGAAGACUCCUGGAAUGGAUUUUCGGUCAAAGGGCGCUUAGGGCAUGCUUCUAAGUGUUGCCCAAGGAUGGGGCCGCGGCCGAUCAGGUUGUUGGUGAGGUAAUGGCUCACCAAGCCUUUAACCGGUGCGGGUCGUGGGAGCGGGAGCCCGGAGAUGGGCACUGAGACAAGGGCCCAGGCCCUACGGGGCGCAGCAGUCGCGAAAACUUCGCAAUAAGCGAAAGCUUGACGGGGCUAUCCCGAGUGCCAUCCGCUGAGGAUGGCUUUUCCCUAGUAUAGAUAGCUGGAGGAAUAAGGAGAGGGCAAGUCUGGUGUCAGCCGCCGCGGUAAUACCAGCUCUCCGAGUGGUGGGGAUGAUUAUUGGGCCUAAAGCAUCCGUAGCCGGCUGGGCAAGUCCCCUGUUAAACCCAACGAUCUAAUCGUUGGCCUGCGGGGGAUACUGCUCGGCUAGGGGGCGAGAGAGGCCGUCGGUAUUCCCGGGGUAGGGGUGAAAUCCUAUAAUCCCGGGAGGACCACCAGUGGCGAAGGCUGUCGGCUAGAACGCGCUCGACGGUGAGGGAUGAAAGCUGGGGGAGCGAACCGGAUUAGAUACCCGGGUAGUCCCAGCUGUAACGAUGCAGGCUCGGUGUUAGGGCGACCACGUGCCGCUCUAGUGCCGCAGGGAAGCUGUUACGCCUGCCGCCUGGGGAUACGCCGGGAAGGCUGACUUAAAGGCCA
This 797-nucleotide ribosomal RNA is filed under the name uncultured soil archaeon. RNAcentral's name for it is "bacterial SSU rRNA". It matches the Rfam family "Archaeal small subunit ribosomal RNA", at positions 80 to 865 of the family's 1478-position model. The record is from RNAcentral.